GUGUCUCUGGCUGAGCCGCCAGUGGAUGUCGUUGUUCUGUUCCUUGAGCGCGAUGUCACUCCUUUAGCAUGACCUCAAACGCGGCGGGGGCUGGGACCGCCAGUCAUCCUCCGUGCGAGGGCCGGGGCGGGCGCGGGCGGGACCCAGCCCCGCCGCCCGCCGCACUUUUGUGGUGCCGCCGCCGCCGCGGGCUCCCCUUUCUCGGUGGGGCUGGCCGCGGGGCGGGCGAUGCUCCGCGCUCUCUGAGCCGCCGCACCGCGUCCGUCGUCCGUCCCUCCGUCCGUCCCCGCGGAGGCCGCGCAGGAUGCUGCGGAGGGGCGCGGAGGCGGCGCUGGCCCUGCUGCUGGCGGCGGCGUGGCUGGCGCAGCCCCUGCGCGGCGGCUACCACGGCGGGAACAUGUUCGCCGUGCAGACGGGCCAGCCCGACCCCUGCUACGACGAGCACGGGCUGCCCCGCCGGUGCAUCCCCGACUUCGUCAACUCGGCUUUUGGGAAGGAGGUGAAGGUGUCGAGCACCUGCGGGAAGCCGCCGUCGCGGUACUGUGUGGUGACGGAGAAGGGCGAGGAGCAGGUCCGCUCCUGCCACCUCUGCAACGCCUCCGACCCCAAGCGCGCCCACCCGCCCUCCUUCCUCACCGACCUCAACAACCCGCACAACCUGACCUGCUGGCAGUCCGACAGCUACGUCCAGUACCCCCACAACGUCACCCUCACCCUAUCCCUGGGCAAGAAAUUCGAGGUGACCUACGUCAGCCUGCAGUUCUGCUCACCGCGCCCCGAGUCCAUGGCUAUCCACAAGUCCAUGGACUACGGCAAGACCUGGGUGCCCUUCCAGUUCUACUCCACGCAGUGCCGCAAGAUGUACAACAAGCCGAGCCGCGCCGCCAUCACGAAGCAGAACGAGCAGGAGGCGGUCUGCACCGACUCGCACACCGACGUGCGUCCCCUCUCCGGCGGCCUCAUCGCCUUCAGCACCCUGGACGGCCGCCCCACGGCCCACGACUUCGACAACUCGCCAGUGCUGCAGGACUGGGUGACGGCCACCGACAUCAGGGUGACCUUCAGCCGCCUCCACACCUUCGGCGACGAGAGCGAGGAUGACUCCGAGCUGGCCCGCGACUCCUACUUCUACGCCGUCUCCGACUUGCAGGUCGGCGGGCGAUGCAAGUGCAACGGCCACGCGUCGCGCUGUGUCCGUGACCGCGACGACAGCUUGGUGUGCGACUGCAAGCACAACACGGCCGGCCCCGAGUGCGACCGCUGCAAGCCCUUCCACUACGACCGGCCCUGGCAGCGAGCUACGGCCCGGGAAGCCAACGAGUGUGUGGCCUGCAACUGCAACCUGCAUGCCCGGCGGUGCCGCUUCAACAUGGAGCUCUACAAGCUGUCCGGGCGCAAGAGCGGCGGCGUGUGCCUCAACUGCCGGCACAACACUGCUGGGCGGCACUGCCACUACUGCAAGGAGGGCUUCUACCGGGACCUCAGCAAGCCCAUCUCCCACCGCAAGGCCUGCAAAGAGUGCGAUUGCCAUCCCGUGGGUGCCGCCGGCCAAACCUGUAACCAAACCACAGGCCAAUGUCCCUGUAAAGACGGUGUCACCGGCAUCACGUGCAAUCGAUGCGCCAAAGGCUACCAGCAAAGCCGGUCUCCCAUUGCCCCCUGCAUAAAAAUCCCCGCCGCUCCCCCCACCACGGCCACCAGCAGCACAGAGGAGCCUGCAGAUUGUGACUCAUACUGCAAAGCCUCCAAGGGGAAACUGAAGAUCAACAUGAAGAAGUACUGUAAGAAAGACUAUGCUGUCCAGAUCCACAUCCUGAAAGCGGAAAAAAAUGCCGACUGGUGGAAGUUCACGGUCAACAUCAUCUCCGUCUACAAACAAGGGAGCAACCGGAUACGGCGAGGAGACCAGACCCUGUGGAUCCACUCCAAGGACAUAGCGUGCAAGUGCCCCAAAAUCAAGCCCAUGAAGAAGUAUUUGCUGCUGGGCAACAACGAGGACUCUCCUGACCAGAGCGGCAUCAUUGCGGACAAAACCAGCCUGGUGAUACAGUGGCGGGAUACGUGGGCUCGGCGGCUCAGGAAGUUCCAGCAGCGGGAGAAGAAGGGGAAGUGUAAGAAAGCCUAAAGGAGGAGAAGGCGACGGGAGUGCGCGAGAGGGAGAGACUGACUGUGCAUGCUGCUUUGUGUAGAGCUGGGGCGGGCAGGGGCCGGCAAUGGGGCGGCGGGAGGACGGUUGCACUGUCGGGAUGGGCUGGGGGGACAGGAGGGAGCAGAGGGCUGGGGGCUGCCAGGUUUGCACCUCAUAUUCCAGGAGAAAUCAAAGCAAAACCCACAACAACGAAUCUCACCCAUGGACACAAGAGGCUGUGGCUGCGGGUGUGCAGUACCCAGCACCCCCAGUCUCAGUCUGCCCUGCUGGCUGAAGAAAUCAGAGACACCAAACUGCCCUCCAGCUGCUAACAUCUGCUGCUUCCAGAGCUCAGCAUGGGAACAUCAAACCUGUAAGAAACAAAUCAACAGCAACGCUGGAAAUUAACUCCCCGUCCCCCAAAACUAUAUUCCCAGCUUAGGCUGAACAAGAAAGUUGUUGUAGAGGAAACUCAACAGAGACUUGUCGCUGAGGACAGACCUGAGGAUCGACUGAUGGGUUAUUUGAACACUCUUUGGUAUCCAAUAGCCAUAACAAUCAUCGCUUGCUGUGCAGAACCUCGGAGCGGCCGAGGUCUCCAGCUGUGGCGAUGCUCCAGGCCUAGGUUAGGCACAGCGAGGAGGCCACAUUAGUGGGCAGCUUCCACAUGGGCAUAACCUGGGGAGCAACUCCUUGCUCCAGCCCCACACCCUGAGGAGCGCUGUCCCCACCAUGCCAAAGGAUUGUGAGCCACAGGAUGCCCUGGCACCCUCCCAGCCACCAGUCCACAGUCGAGGAGUUAAUAACCAGGAUCCCCAUGGAAACAAACAGACUUUGCAAAAGAAUACACUGGCUUCCUGUUCCCAUAGGUGCUCUGGAAGACCUUGCCCAUUGCAGCCCCCAAGUCCUCCUUCAUGGCCCAAGUCUUCGUCCACCCCUGAGACAUCCUUCACAGGCUCGGUCCUCUCUUGCUGCUGUCACCAGACCGAUGAACCCUCCCAUGACAGAAAAUCUGUGCAGAUAACACCGAGGUCACUGGUUCCACUCGCAAACUCAGCCACCUCUCCUGAACCCAUCAGCUCUGCCCUCACUUCCUCUGGAGCUGCAGCUCCUCAGCAUCCCUGCAUAACAUGGCCAGCCCCCUGGGGAGACUAAGGAAGUGGGACAAUGAGUGCCAAGGGGCUGUCACUAUAGAGCGCAGAGCUCUAUGGCUUGGCCAAGUUACAGCAGAGACCUGCCCCAAGGGAAGGGGUCUCAGCCAGGCACUGGCUGUGACCCACCUGAAGCUACCCAUCGGCUCGUUCUGCUGGGGGUGAAAAGCAGCAGAUGGAAAUGUCUCCACCUCUCAUCACUGACGCACUAAGGCAGGGGACACCCCACCUCCACCUCACACCCCAUGCCCCAGCCCGAGCGCUGGAGCAUCUUUGCCCAGGGCACUCUACAGGCAGGACUGGCUGUUGUUUGUGACCCGGAUGCUGUGUCCCUGUGCCAGGCUGCUCCCCUGCCACACCAGCCCAUGAGGAACGGGGUGCCUGAGUUCACCUACUUGAUGGAGACAGGCAAUGGCCAGGGCAGAAAGGCAGGGAGGGCAAGGCGGGUACCUGGAGGAGAAGCAAACACAAGUUGCUACGAAAGGCAAAACCUCCCUGAUAUUUCUCCUUUUAGGAAACUUGGAAACAUCUAUUUUAUGACAUUUUCCAGUGGUUUUGCCUUGUUUUAUAGCAAUUGACAAUAUUUAUAUAAUGACAUAAACCACCAUAAAGUGAGGCAGCCGUGUAAAUAGGUGUAAAGUGGAGGGCUCCUGGGGAAGCACUGGCCAAUGCUGGGCUGCUGGAGACACCACCAGGAGGGAGCGAGCUCUGCUGAGCCUUCCCCUGCAGCCACAGGGCCCCUCUGGAAUCAGUUUGGGUAUUAGCAGAGAAAUCCCACCCUGGGCAUCAAGUGACACCCCCCCCCCAGGUCUGUGUUCUCUCCCCUUACCCAGAGCAGACUCAGUUUUCCCUCCUGCAGAGCUCGAGGAGAACCAACAGUUUUUCUGUCAAGGGAACCCAAGCCACCAAGUUUUGAAAGACAAAAUCUGACCUAAAAUGUCCAAACGGAUGCUUUAAGCCCCAAAAGUGGGAUUUGGAUGCUCUGCUGUGGCAAGCAUCAACUGGUGCCAGGGACACCCCGCACCAGCUGCAGACAGCUUGUCCUUGGUCAGCCAGGAUGCCUUUGGACUAUGGGAGAUCUUCAAAUGGCCUAAAAGCAACCAGAUCCAACCCAUCUGGAGAGAAGGAAGGCAAAGCCAUGGGACAUGGGACUUAGGAAAUGCCCAUCGAGCAUGCCUGGACAUCUAACAUUUACUCUGAUUUUCCAACCUUGGCAAGCACAGCCAUCCUCCCCAGCACAGCCUUAACACCAACCAAAUCCACCCAGGGACAAGCCUCAGCCCCUUCCCCAGUCCCAAUGGUUUGGGGGGCUGCAGAAGAACCAUUACCUCCCCAUGACAGGACCCCUCCAAGCACUGACACAACCUGGGAAAUCAUAAGGAAAUGGAGUCUGCACAAGACACAAAACAAGUCAGAGCCCACCACAGCCAGAGCCACCCACAGAAGCGAGGACUCCAUCCCUGCCCCUCCAGGACUCCAUCUCUCAAUCCCUGCUGGAGUUUUGUGCUUUUCAGCCAGAAUAGAAAAGCUCCUUCACUCCGUCCACAGUCCCCCAGUGCCCCUCACAUGCUCCCAGUAACCUUGAUCUGCAGAGCUGCUGGUGUUACUGGUGCACAGCCCAUCCUGUCUGGGGGAGGCAGAAUAGCCUGUUUCGGGGUGUCCGGG
RNA transcript from Pezoporus occidentalis (night parrot), 4944 nucleotides. It is a transcript of the gene named netrin 1, with no coding region annotated. The transcript is spliced from 7 exons. Lineage: Eukaryota; Metazoa; Chordata; Aves; Psittaciformes; Psittacidae. The record is from RefSeq and is a predicted model, not a curated record.